CAGCAGCCACGGUAAUACGUAGGUGGCAAGCGUUGUCCGGAAUUAUUGGGCGUAAAGGGCUCGCAGGCGGUUUCUUAAGUCUGAUGUGAAAGCCCCCGGCUCAACCGGGGAGGGUCAUUGGAAACUGGGAAACUUGAGUGCAGAAGAGGAGAGUGGAAUUCCACGUGUAGCGGUGAAAUGCGUAGAGAUGUGGAGGAACACCAGUGGCGAAGGCGACUCUCUGGUCUGUAACUGACGCUGAGGGGCGAAAGCGUGGGGAGCGAACAGGAUUAGAUACCCCCGUAGUCCCUGUCUCUUAUAC
RNAcentral lists this ribosomal RNA (301 nucleotides) under uncultured bacterium. Its description in RNAcentral is "partial 16S ribosomal RNA". It matches the Rfam family "Bacterial small subunit ribosomal RNA", at positions 509 to 807 of the family's 1533-position model. The record is from RNAcentral.